GCUUGCACUUACGUGUAAGCACUGGGAGUUCUUGGGUACAGGGUGGCCCUGAGAACAUCUGUCUCUGAAGAACUGGCUUUGGAGAUUGGACUUGUAUAGCCCCUGCCUUCAGCCUUUGAGAUGCCCUUCAUCCUCCCAUGUGGACACCAGCUGCCAGAAGUCACUUACUUCACAUGUCAGCACACACAGGAAUGGCAACAACAUUAUCUUAUUGCUGCUUUGAAGAGAGAAACCAUAACCCUGGCUGGCACCAAAACAGCGAUGAACCGAAAAUCACACAGAUCAGACUUUUUGCUGACAAUAAUUACCAAACAUCUGACCUCAAAAACUGCAUGUGAUUUCCACCUUGCAAUUUCAUCACCCUGCUUAAC
Molecule: long non-coding RNA, 371 nt
Organism: Melopsittacus undulatus (budgerigar)
Lineage: Eukaryota; Metazoa; Chordata; Aves; Psittaciformes; Psittaculidae
Exons: 3
Source: RefSeq, a predicted model, not a curated record